Molecule: unclassified non-coding RNA, 442 nt
Filed under: Hevea brasiliensis (rubber tree)
Lineage: Eukaryota; Viridiplantae; Streptophyta; Magnoliopsida; Malpighiales; Euphorbiaceae
Source: RNAcentral
GUGAGAGCAAUUGGGAAGACUUAUCACAAGAAUCUAGUCCGAUUGCUUGGCUAUUGUGAUGAAGGGUCUCAUAGGCUUUUGAUAUAUGAGUUCAUGAGCAAUGGAACAUUGGCAAAUUUUCUUUUUGCACCUCCUAGGCCAGAUUGGAAUCAAAGAAUCAAGAUUGCCUUGGGAAUUGCAAGGGGACUUCUUUACUUGCAUGAAGAAUGCGAAAAUCCUAUAAUCCAUUGUGAUAUAAAGCCCCAAAACAUACUUCUUGAUGACAAUUUCACUGCCAGGAUAUCUGAUUUUGGAUUGGCGAAAUUGUUGCUCUCAAGUCAAACAAGAACUAAGACUAUGAUUAGAGGAACAAGAGGAUACGUAGCCCCUGAGUGGUUCAAGAAUGUGCCUGUAACAGCCAAGGUAGAUGUCUACAGUUUUGGUGUGAUGCUUUUAGAGAUCA